GGGGAGGUGCCGGAGUGGCCGAACGGGAUCGCCUGCUAAGUGAUUGUCGGGUUUAACCUCGACCGAGAGUUCGAAUCUCUCCCUCCCCG
This 89-nucleotide transfer RNA is filed under the name Anaerolineaceae bacterium. Its description in RNAcentral is "tRNA-Ser". It matches the Rfam family "tRNA". From Rfam's summary of the family: Transfer RNA (tRNA) molecules are approximately 80 nucleotides in length. Their secondary structure includes four short double-helical elements and three loops (D, anti-codon, and T loops). Lineage: Bacteria; Bacillati; Chloroflexota; Anaerolineae; Anaerolineales; Anaerolineaceae. The record is from RNAcentral.